AUAUCAAUAAGCGGAGGAAAAGAAACUAACAAGGAUUCCCCUAGUAACGGCGAGUGAAGCGGGAAGAGCUCAAGCUUAAAAUCUCCGUGCAAGUUUUGCGCGGCGAAUUGUAGUCUAUAGAGGCGUGGUCAGUGAGGGCGCUCGGGGCAAGUUCCUUGGAAGAGGACAGCAUGGAGGGUGAUACUCCCGUUCAUCCCUGGGUGGCUCUUGCGUACGACCCGUUUUCUUUGAGUCGCGUUGUUUGGGAAUGCAGCGCAAAGUAGGUGGUAAAUUCCAUCUAAAGCUAAAUAUUGGUGCGAGACCGAUAGCGAACAAGUACCGUGAGGGAAAGAUGAAAAGAACUUUGAAAAGAGAGUUAAAGAGUACCUGAAACUGCUGAAAGGGAACCGAAUCGUUUCCAGUGUCUAUAAUCCGUGGUAUAUUUCAUUGGUGAGUGUGUGCGUGCGUGUGCUUUGGCAGUGGCUUUUUUGGCUGCGCUGGGCGUGUGUGCUGUGUGUGCUUGCUGGUGCCCUGUGCUGCGGUGGGACGUCAAGGUCAGUUCGUAUGCUGCGGGAAAUGGCUGCCGAGGAGGUAGGGCUUACGCUCCGCGUUUGUCUGUUAUAUCUUGGUGGACGAGUCGUCGCGGUUGGGACUGAGGUGCCUACAACGUGCUUUUGAGUGAGUGUGGGUCUCCGUGUGCGCCGUGUGCGGAUAGCUUGCUAUGCGUGUGUGGUUGUGUGUGGAUUGAUGCGCGCUGUAACUUGUCGCCGUUCGGGACGUUGACGAAAUGGAGCGAUCCGACCCGUCUUGAAACACGGACCAAGGAGUCUAACAUGUGU
Molecule: ribosomal RNA, 818 nt
Filed under: Phytophthora parsiana
Lineage: Eukaryota; Oomycota; Peronosporomycetes; Peronosporales; Peronosporaceae
Description: partial 28S large subunit ribosomal RNA
Rfam family: Eukaryotic large subunit ribosomal RNA
Source: RNAcentral